CAUGGCAUCUGUGUCCACCCACUUCCUGACACUGCCUCGGGUCCUAAUGCUUCAUGUGAAGCGGUUUUGUGCAGAUGACUGGGAGCCAAAGAAGGUAGAGGACCCCAUGUUUAUCCCAGAAGAACUUACUCUCCAGGGCCUUUGUGGGGAAACUGUCCAGCCUGGUGACAGUACCAUCGAUUCACAAAGGGUGAGGUCACUGGGAAACAACAGCGUGGUCAACACUCCACCAAACUGCCCUUCUAGUUCAGAGAUACCAGCCAGAACCUGUUUAUAGAUUGUCAAGUGUGAUCUCUCAUCUGGGAGACAGCUUGUAUACAGGCCACUACAUCACUGAUCUGCUGGACAGCCAUGGUAGUGGAUGGCUCUGUAUGGAUGAUGCACGUGUCCGUAGGACAGAUGUGGCCACUGUACUCAGGACCAGAGCUCACACUGCCUACAUCCUCUUCUAUGUGUGCAGUGGAGCAGGUGAAGGAGACCAGGCACCUAAGAUGCAGAAUUAGAAGAGCUUCCAAUAGAAUCUGUCUGCCCAAGACCACCAAGGGGAUCAAAAGCUGCAUUAUUUUGCAUGAAGAGUGGACAACUGAGGGGA
This is a long non-coding RNA of Esox lucius (northern pike), 592 nucleotides long. RefSeq lists it as uncharacterized. The transcript has 7 exons. Lineage: Eukaryota; Metazoa; Chordata; Actinopteri; Esociformes; Esocidae. The record is from RefSeq and is a predicted model, not a curated record.